Molecule: ribosomal RNA, 258 nt
Filed under: uncultured bacterium
Lineage: Bacteria
Description: partial 16S ribosomal RNA
Rfam family: Bacterial small subunit ribosomal RNA
Source: RNAcentral
UACGGGGGAGCAAGCGUUGUUCGGAUUACUGGGCGUAAAGGGCGCGUAGGCGGUCGUGACAAGUCACUUGUGAAAUCUCCGGGCUUAACUCGGAACGGUCAAGUGAUACUGUCGGGACUAGAGUACAGAAGGGGCAACGUGGGAAAUUCUCGGGUGUAGCGGUGAAAUGCGUAGAUAUCGAGAGGAACACCUGCGGCGAAGGCGGGUGCUGGGCUGAAUACUGACGUGAGGCGCGAAAGCCAGGGGAAGCGAACGGGA